RNAcentral lists this transfer-messenger RNA (55 nucleotides) under Lautropia mirabilis. Its description in RNAcentral is "partial transfer-messenger RNA". It matches the Rfam family "transfer-messenger RNA", at positions 318 to 374 of the family's 374-position model. Rfam says of the family: Bacterial tmRNA, also known as 10Sa RNA or SsrA, is named for its dual tRNA and mRNA-like properties. Lineage: Bacteria; Pseudomonadati; Pseudomonadota; Betaproteobacteria; Burkholderiales; Burkholderiaceae. The record is from RNAcentral.
AGAACUGGUCGCAGAAGACUUUCGGACGCGGGUUCGAUUCCCGCCGGCUCCACCA